RNAcentral lists this ribosomal RNA (495 nucleotides) under uncultured Glomeromycotina. Its description in RNAcentral is "partial small subunit ribosomal RNA". It matches the Rfam family "Eukaryotic small subunit ribosomal RNA", at positions 591 to 1092 of the family's 1831-position model. The record is from RNAcentral. Lineage: Eukaryota; Fungi; Glomeromycota.
CCAAUAGCGUAUAUUAAAGUUGUUGCAGUUAAAAAGCUCGUAGUUGAAUUUUAGGCCUGACCGGACGGUCCGUCUCUGGCGAGUACUGUUCUGUUGUCGGGUCUAUCCUUCUGGUGAGCCGGUAUGCCCUUUAUUGGGUGUGUCGGGGAACCAGGACCAUUACCUUGAAAAAAUUAGAGUGUUUAAAGCGGGCUUUUGCUUGAAUAGAUUAGCAUGGAAUAAUAGAAUAGGACGUUGGUUCUAUUUUGUUGGUCUAGGACCACCGUAAUGAUUAAUAGGGAUAGUGGGGGGCAUUAGUAUUCAAUUGUCAGAGGUGAAAUUCUUGGAUUUAUUGAAGACUAACUACUGCGAAAGCAUUUGCCAAGGAUGUUUUCAUUAAUCAAGAACGAAAGUUAGGGGAUCGAAGACGAUCAGAUACCGUCGUAGUCUUACCCAUAAACUAUGCCGACUAGGAAUCGGGCGACGUUAUUUUCAUGACUCGCUCGGCGCCUUAUG